CGAAUGCUGACAUAAGUAACGAUAAAGCGGGUGAAAAGCCCGCUCGCCGGAAGACCAAGGGUUCCUGUCCAACGUUAAUCGGGGCAGGGUGAGUCGACCCCUAAGGCGAGGCCGAAAGGCGUAGUCGAUGGGAAACAGGUUAAUAUUCCUGUACUUGGUGUUACUGCGAAGGGGGGACGGAGAAGGCUAUGUUGGCCGGGCGACGGUUGUCCCGGUUUAAGCGUGUAGGCUGGUUUUCCAGGCAAAUCCGGAAAAUCAAGGCUGAGGCGUGAUGACGAGGCACUACGGUGCUGAAGCAACAAAUGCCCUGCUUCCAGGAAAAGCCUCUAAGCAUCAGGUAACAUCAAAUCGUACCCCAAACCGACACAGGUGGUCAGGUAGAGAAUACCAAGGCGCUUGAGAGAACUCGGGUGAAGGAACUAGGCAAAAUGGUGCCGUAACUUCGGGAGAAGGCACGCUGAUAUGUAGGUGAAGCGACUUGCUCGUGGAGCUGAAAUCAGUCGAAGAUACCAGCUGGCUGCAACUGUUUAUUAAAAACACAGCACUGUGCAAACACGAAAGUGGACGUAUACGGUGUGACGCCUGCCCGGUGCCGGAAGGUUAAUUGAUGGGGUUAGCGGUAACGCGAAGCUCUUGAUCGAAGCCCCGGUAAACGGCGGCCGUAACUAUAACGGUCCUAAGGUAGCGAAAUUCCUUGUCGGGUAAGUUCCGACCUGCACGAAUGGCGUAAUGAUGGCCAGGCUGUCUCCACCCGAGACUCAGUGAAAUUGAACUCGCUGUGAAGAUGCAGUGUACCCGCGGCAAGACGGAAAGACCCCGUGAACCUUUACUAUAGCUUGACACUGAACAUUGAGCCUUGAUGUGUAGGAUAGGUGGGAGGCUUUGAAGUGUGGACGCCAGUCUGCAUGGAGCCGACCUUGAAAUACCACCCUUUAAUGUUUGAUGUUCUAACGUUGACCCGUAAUCCGGGUUGCGGACAGUGUCUGGUGGGUAGUUUGACUGGGGCGGUCUCCUCCUAAAGAGUAACGGAGGAGCACGAAGGUUGGCUAAUCCUGGUCGGACAUCAGGAGGUUAGUGCAAUGGCAUAAGCCAGCUUGACUGCGAGCGUGACGGCGCGAGCAGGUGCGAAAGCAGGUCAUAGUGAUCCGGUGGUUCUGAAUGGAAGGGCCAUCGCUCAACGGAUAAAAGGUACUCCGGGGAUAACAGGCUGAUACCGCCCAAGAGUUCAUAUCGACGGCGGUGUUUGGCACCUCGAUGUCGGCUCAUCACAUCCUGGGGCUGAAGUAGGUCCCAAGGGUAUGGCUGUUCGCCAUUUAAAGUGGUACGCGAGCUGGGUUUAGAACGUCGUGAGACAGUUCGGUCCCUAUCUGCCGUGGGCGCUGGAGAACUGAGGGGGGCUGCUCCUAGUACGAGAGGACCGGAGUGGACGCAUCACUGGUGUUCGGGUUGUCAUGCCAAUGGCACUGCCCGGUAGCUAAAUGCGGAAGAGAUAAGUGCUGAAAGCAUCUAAGCACGAAACUUGCCCCGAGAUGAGUUCUCCCUGACU
RNAcentral lists this ribosomal RNA (1546 nucleotides) under Escherichia coli. RNAcentral's name for it is "partial 23S ribosomal RNA". It matches the Rfam family "Bacterial large subunit ribosomal RNA", at positions 1291 to 2820 of the family's 2925-position model. The record is from RNAcentral. Lineage: Bacteria; Pseudomonadati; Pseudomonadota; Gammaproteobacteria; Enterobacterales; Enterobacteriaceae.